AUUGAACGCUGGCGGCAGGCCUAACACAUGCAAGUCGAGCGGAUGAAGGGAGCUUGCUCCUGGAUUUAGCGGCGGACGGGUGAGUAAUGCCUAGGAAUCUGCCUGGUAGUGGGGGAUAACGUCCGGAAACGGGCGCUAAUACCGCAUACGUCCUGAGGGAGAAAGUGGGGGAUCUUCGGACCUCACGCUAUCAGAUGAGCCUAGGUCGGAUUAGCUAGUUGGUGGGGUAAGGGCCUACCAAGGCGACGAUCCGUAACUGGUCUGAGAGGAUGAUCAGUCACACUGGAACUGAGACACGGUCCAGACUCCUACGGGAGGCAGCAGUGGGGAAUAUUGGACAAUGGGCGAAAGCCUGAUCCAGCCAUACCGCGUGUGUGAAGAAGGUCUUCGGACUGUAAAGCACUUUAAGUUGGGAGGAAGGGCAGUAAGUUAAUACCUUGCUGUUUUGACGUUACCAACAGAAUAAGCACCGGCUAACUUCGUG
RNAcentral lists this ribosomal RNA (484 nucleotides) under uncultured bacterium. Its description in RNAcentral is "partial 16S ribosomal RNA". It matches the Rfam family "Bacterial small subunit ribosomal RNA", at positions 30 to 507 of the family's 1533-position model. The record is from RNAcentral.